This 157-nucleotide ribosomal RNA is filed under the name Primula marginata. RNAcentral describes it as "5.8S ribosomal RNA". It matches the Rfam family "5.8S ribosomal RNA". From Rfam's summary of the family: 5.8S ribosomal RNA (5.8S rRNA) is a component of the large subunit of the eukaryotic ribosome. It is transcribed by RNA polymerase I as part of the 45S precursor that also contains 18S and 28S rRNA. The record is from RNAcentral. Lineage: Eukaryota; Viridiplantae; Streptophyta; Magnoliopsida; Ericales; Primulaceae.
ACUCUCGGCAACGGAUAUCUAGGCUCUCGCAUCGAUGAAGAACGUAGCAAAAUGCGAUACUUGGUGUGAAUUGCAGAAUCCCGUGAACCAUCGAGUUUUUGAACGCAAGUUGCGCCCGAAGCCAUUAGGCUGAGGGCACGUCUGCUUGGGUGUCUCA